This is a non-coding RNA of Ornithorhynchus anatinus (platypus), 138 nucleotides long. NCBI's taxonomy places the organism in Eukaryota, Metazoa, Chordata, Mammalia, Monotremata, Ornithorhynchidae. The record is from Rfam.
CCUCUCUCAGGAUCGGCCCUGGAGAGUUCCCAAUAGUCUACCAGUUUCGAUUAUGGGAGGAAGAGUCAAGCAGAAGCCUACCCAUUCCAUUCCUAGCUUGGCCAGUGGCUAGCGAGGGGGAGGCAAUCUGCUACACCU